GUAGCACACCCAUGACUCCUCUUCUUGGGCGAAACCUGGGAUCCACUGCACUGUCCCCAUACCCUGCUGCGAUCUCUGGACUGCAGGGAUAGCUCAAAAACGGCUGAACUUUGACACUUCAAACGUGGCAUGUAAAUAGUCCUUAACGAGAAGGAAAACUCACACUGAAGAUGAAAAUCACCCCUGUGCAGUGGGCUGGCUGAAGAGCCAGCGUAUGAGGCACAGCAGCCAUUCUACAGAGAACUCUCCAAUUGAGCGACGAAGUCUCAUGACCUCAGAUGAAAAUUAUCACAACGAAAGGGCUCGGA
Molecule: non-coding RNA, 308 nt
Organism: Meleagris gallopavo (turkey)
Lineage: Eukaryota; Metazoa; Chordata; Aves; Galliformes; Phasianidae
Source: RefSeq, a predicted model, not a curated record